UACGGGGGGAGCAAGCGUUGUUCGGAUUUACUGGGCGUAAAGGGCGCGUAGGCGGCCAGCACAAGUCAGUUGUGAAAUCUCCGAGCUUAACUCGGAACGGUCAACUGAUACUGUGCGGCUAGAGUGCGGAAGGGGCAACUGGAAUUCUUGGUGUAGCGGUGAAAUGCGUAGAUAUCAAGAGGAACACCGGUGGCGAAGGCGGAUCUCUGGGCCUUACCUGACGCUCAGGUGCGAAAGCUAGGGGAGCGAACAGG
Molecule: ribosomal RNA, 254 nt
Filed under: uncultured bacterium
Lineage: Bacteria
Description: partial 16S ribosomal RNA
Rfam family: Bacterial small subunit ribosomal RNA
Source: RNAcentral